GUAGCUGGGACUACAGGCGCCCGCCACCACGCCCGGCUAAUUUUUUUUUUAAUUUUUAGUAGAGACGGGGUUUCACCGUGUUAGCCAGGAUGGUCUCAAUCUCCUGACCUCUUGAUCCACCCAUCUCAGCCUCCCAAAGUGCUGGGAUUACAGGCGUGAGCCACUGCACCCAACCUUUUUUUUCUUUUUGACUGAGUGUCACUCUGUCGCCCAGGCUGGAUGUAGUGGCGCAAUCUUGGCUCACUGCAACCUCCACUUCCGCGGUUCAAGCUAUUCUCCUACCUCAGCCUCCCGAGUAGCUCGGACUACAGGCGCAUGCCACCACGUCUGGCUAAUUUUUUGUAUUUUUUUUAGUAGAGACGGGGUUUCACUGUGUUGGCCAGGAUGGUUUCAAACUCCUGACCUCAGCUGAUCCACCCGCCUUGGCCUCCCAAAGUGCUGGGAUUACAGGCGUGAGCCAUCGCUCCUGGCCCUGUGAUUUCUUACAAAAGUGUUCUGUAGUUCUCCUUGUAGAGAUCUUUCAUCUCCUUGGUCGUAUUCCCAGGUGAUAAAGCAUCUGCUGAUCAUAAAGCAGCAAUGAUUGAUGAGCGUGCCCAAGUUAUCACUGAUGAAAAUCUGACACCAGAACAAGUCUAUAAUGCUUAUAAAACAUCACUGUUUUGUGUUACUGCCCCAGGAAGACACUGACUACAGCUGAUGAGAAAGCCCCUAUAGGAAUUAAGGAUGCCAAGGACAGAAUAACUGUACUGGGAUAUGCUAAUGCAGCACACAAACACAUUGUAAACUUGCUGUGACAGGCAAAAGCUUAUGUCUUCACUAUUUUAAGGGAGUGGAUUUCUUACCAGACUAUUAUUAUGCUAACAAAAGUGCACAGAUCACCAGGGACAUAUUUUCUGAUUGGUGCUCCAAUGUUUUGUACCAGAAGUUCAUGCUCACUGCAGGGAAGCUAAACUGGAGGAUGACUGCAAGAUUUUGUUACACGUGACAACUGUUCUAUUCACCCUCCUGCUGAAAUUCUCAUCAAAAAUGUUUAUGCCAUCUACUUUCCCCAAAAUGUGACUUUAUUAAUUCAACCAUGUGGCCAGGGUAUCCUUAGAUCAAUGAAGAGUAAAUAUAAAAACACUUUCCUGAACAGCAUGCUAGCAGCAGUGACAAGAGGUGUGGGUGUGGAAGGUUUGCAAAAAGAGUUUAGCAUGAAAGAUGCCAUACAUGCUGUUGCCAAUGCUUGGAAGACAAUGACUAAAGAUACAGUUUUGCAUGCCUGCAACCUCUAACCUGUGACUAUGUGCAGUGAUGAUGAUGAUGAACUAAGUAGUGACUUUGAAGGAUUUCAUAUGUCAAGUGAGGAAAACAUGAAUGUCUGACCUUAUAUAUGCAAAAUAAUAAUAUAUAUGCAUCAGUAAGCUGGAAGAAGUAGAUAUCAAAGAAGCUUUUAACAUUGAUAAUGAGCCUCCAGUUGUUCAUUCAUUGACCAAUGGUGAAAUAGCUGAAAUUGUUCUGGAUCAAGAUGAUCACAAUAAUAGUGACGAUGAAGAUGAUGUCAUUAACACCAAAGAAAAGGUGCCUAUAGAAGACAUGGGUAAAACGUGUGAUGGAUUAUUGAAGGACUAGAUCAGUGUACAUUCAUAAUUGAACAAAUCAUGUCAGUUUAUAAAAUGAAAGAGAAAAUUCUAAGACAAAAAACCAUUGUUAAUGAGACAGAUAACUCUGGAGGAAAUUUUCUAAAAAGCCAUUUUGCAGAUUGCCUCCCCAUCCCUAGAACACCCACCUUCUGGUCCUUCAAGUGCUUCUGAUGUUUCUUCUCACCUAAAAAUAAAUAAAAUAAAAUAAAAUACCUGUACAGUGACUUUUUGUUUGUUUUGUUUUGUUUUUUGCUUUUUGUUUAUUUGAGACAGAGUCUCACUCUGUCACCCAGACUGGAGUGCAGUGGUACGAUCUUGACUCACUGCAGCCUCCGCCUCCUGGGUUCAAGUGAUUCUCCUGCCUCAGCCUCCUGAGUAGCUGGGACUACAGGUGCGCACCACCACACCCUGCUAAUUUUUGUAUUUUUAAUAAAGACAGGGUUUCACCAUGUUGGCCAGGAUGGUCUUGAUCUCCUGACCUCGUGAUCUGCCCACCUCUGCCUCCCAAAGUGCUGGGAUUACAGGUGUGAGCCACUGCGCCCAGCAUACAGUGACCUUUUAAUGAAAACACAGCAUCAUAGGUGGAGACGGCAAGCAUGCUGUUGUUUGUAGCUGCUGUUGUUUAGCAGCCAGUACAGAUAUUCUGGUGAUGCAACUGUGCUGCUUUGUUAUCCUGAACACAUUAUUUUUCAGUGUAUUAAUGGUAAGUCAUUUUUUUUUACUGUUAAGUAUUUAUAUGUGGAUAAGUAUAAGAAAAUGAUGGCUUUUUGGUAGCAUAUAAAUUCAGAGUCAGGAACAAUGGUGAUGCCAAACAACCACAUAUUUCCACAUGAGUGGCUGAGAUGGUGACACCUUUGCUUUUGCAUGGUUUAAUGUAUACAAACUUUGUUCAUGCACAAAACUAUUUAAAAUAUUGUGUAAAAUUACCUUCAGGCCAUAUAUAUAUAUAUUAUACAUACAUAUAUAUAUAUAUAUAUGGUGUUUAUGAAACAUAAAUUAAUUUUGUGUUUAGACUGGGGUCCAUCCCCAAAAUAUCCCUAUUACGUAUAUGCAAAUAUUCAAAAAUCUGAAAAAAAUCAAAAUCUGAAACAUUUCUGGUCCUAAGCAUUUUGGAUAAGGGAUAUUCAACAUGUAAAAUCUAUUUAAAAUGUUGGGA
RNAcentral lists this long non-coding RNA (2778 nucleotides) under Homo sapiens (human). Its description in RNAcentral is "HSALNT0124640". Lineage: Eukaryota; Metazoa; Chordata; Mammalia; Primates; Hominidae. The record is from RNAcentral.